AUUUUUAGUAGACGGGGUUUCACCCUGUGGGUGAGGCUGGUCUCGAACUCCUGACCUCAAGUGAUUUGCCCUCCUUGGCCACCCAAAGUGCUGGGAUUACAGGCGUGAGCCACCAUGCUUGGCCCCCAUAAUGUUACUGGGGAUCUUUCUUUUCUGCUUUGCAAAGUGUAUAAAUUCCAUCCUCAAAGUAGCCUCAUGGUCCAUGAGGGCUGCUGGCUAGCCAACCAUCACAGCAGGAAGCAGAUGUUGGGAGCACAGCAGGGCUCAUUUCCAGUUGUCCCCUCUUAUGGAGCUUUCCAGAUGACCCACUCAAUUAAUUCUUCUUACAUUUCAUUGCUACCACUAUUUACAAGGUAGGCUAGGUACAGUGUCCCUCAGAAUAAAAUCAGAGCUCAUUUCCUGCGGAACACAGCUGGGUUAUCUGCAUUGUCUGCCUCAGGCCAGCACCUGUAAAUACAGCUGGUGGAGAGGGGCAGUGGCUGAUUCUUCUGGGUGGCAAAUUUUAAAAUAUAUGCCAAGAGUGAUUCAAAUAUUCAUUUCCUCUCAUGUAGUCUCAAGUGUGUGACUUUAUGUUUGGGAAACCCAAAGAAAGGUGGAGAAGCACAUGCAUGAAGAUAUCCAUUGCCCCCUGAUUGUUAAGCAUGACAAGUCAGAAACAACUGAAAUUUCCAACAGUGGGAAAAACACAAGCAUGCUAUGUUCUGAAAUUCACUUGGUGGAAUGUUCCGUCAGUCACUGUGAUAUGGUUUGGCUGUGUCCCCACCCAAAUCUCAUCUUGAAUUGUAGCUCCCAUAAUUCCCUUGUGUUGUGGGAGGGACCCAGUGGGAGAUAAAUGAAUCAUGGGGGCGGUUUCCCCCAUACUGUUCUCGUGGUAGUGAAUAAGGAUCAUGAGAUCUGAUGGUUUAAUAUGGGGAAACCCCUGUCUCUUCGCUGUCAUUCUUCUCAUGUCUGCCACCAUGUGAGACGUGCCUUUCGCCUUCCAUCAUGAUUGUGAGGCCUCCCCAGCCACAUGGAACUGUGAGUCGGUUAAAUCUCUUUCUUUUGUAAAUUGCCCAGUCUCCAGUAUGUCUUUAUAGCAGCAUGAAAACUGACUAAUACACACUACACACUGUAAAUGUUAGUCAUGGAGGAUGUGUACCAACAUGGAAGAGUGUUUACAAUGUAUCUUUAGAGAAAAGAUGGACUAUCCAAGUAUGCAUACUGGAAUUAUCAUUAGAUUACCAUACAUCUGGGUGAGGAGCAGAACAGAGACAUAAGUAACAGCAACCGUGAACCUCAGAGGCAGCCAAGGGAAAUGUUCCUCCCAUAUGGAAAGUCAGAAGCUGCCAGAGAGGCAAGUGGAGCAUGCAAGACAACUGAUGGCAUAGUCUCAGAACUGACCAUGAAUACUGCUCUCCACUUUCCAUUGACCAAAGCAAGUCCAACGUUGUGGGAAAGGGUCCCUCACCCACAGUGGGAGGUGAGGGGUGUGGACACUUGCCACUUGCUGAUUGAUGACCAAAAUAUCCCAGGUAUAUACCCUUUCACACUUUUCCUAUGCUUUUUUAAAUAAAGACACUCUUUACCAAUCAGAAUCACUCUACAUAUUGUUUUGCCACUCAGUUAUAUGUAUGACUACAUCUUUUUAUGUCAUAAAAAUUCUUCUGCAACAUGUGACUGCUUGCAAUUCUAUUUUGUGGUCAUAUCAUGAUUUAUUCAACCUGAUGGACAUUUAUCUUUUCCUUUAUUUAUUUAUUUAUUUAGUUAUUUACUAAGAUGGAUUUUCCCUCUUGUCACCCAGGCUGGAGUGCAAUGGCACCAUCGCGGCUCACUGCAACCUCCACCUCCUGGGUUCAAGCGAUUCUCCUGCCUCAGCCUCCCGAGUAGCUGGGAUUACAGGGGAAGCCAGCCACCAUGUCAUAAGGACAAAGCAGCCCUGAGGAGAACCAAUCCCUUGGGGAGGAACUCGGCCCCCAGUCAGCAGCCAAUACCAACUUGCCCAUGUGUGAGUUAGUCACCUUGAAAGUGGAUCUGCUGUCCCAGCCAAGCCUUCAGAUGAGACCACAGCUCUGGCCAACACCUGACUGCAGCCUCAUGAGAGACCCAGAGAACCAUCCUGUUGAGUCUCUCUUGAAUUCUUGGCCCAUAGAAAUUGCUAGUGAUAGUAAAUUAUUCUUGUUUUUUAAACCACUAAGUUUUAGGUUAAUUUAUUACACAGCAGGAAUGAUAACUUAAAUGGUGACUAUUUUGGUCAAAAGAGGCCAGGCUCUGCUACAGUAUCAAAUAAACCACACUUGAUGGCUAAUACAAUAAGGUUUAUUUCAUACUCACUUACACCUGAUGUGGGUAGGAGGGCUCUCCUGCUUGGCACGCAAGUCCCAGGGAUGCAGAGUAUUUUCACCUAGAAGCAGGUCACUUCUUCUCACAUUCAGGUGGUGAGAAAGCUGUGUUAUCACACCCAGGAGCAUGGAGCCAAGAAACAUAGUUUAGUUGUAUGCCCCAGAAUAUAACUAAAUAAACGUUUAGUAUUGCCUCUGCCACAGUGAAUCAAGAGAAAUGAAAGUGACUACUAUGUAUUUGAAAAGUAAAAAUUCCCAGAAGUACAGAAAUGCAUAUUGAAACUGAUUCAUGAUUUUUCACUUCCUGUGGAAUAAACAAAACUCCCUUUUUGAAAUCUGAGAAUAUCCAAACUUCCACAAUUGCUACAGGAUAAACACUUCCAUAUACAGCUGGUAGGAAUAAGAAUAGGCUUGACUUUUCCAGAUGAUAAAGUUGCAAGAUUUAUCCACAGCCUUUAAAAUAUUUAUAUUCCUUGACCCAAAUAAUUUUGCUUCUGGGAAUCUAUUAUAGGGAGAUAUAUAUAUAUAUAUAUAUAUAUAUAUUUUUUUUUUUUUUUUUUUUUUUGAGACGGAGUCUUGCAUGUCACCCAGGCU
This 2912-nucleotide long non-coding RNA is filed under the name Homo sapiens (human). RNAcentral's name for it is "HSALNT0152227". The record is from RNAcentral. Lineage: Eukaryota; Metazoa; Chordata; Mammalia; Primates; Hominidae.